AAUUCUCAACCUCACCAACUUUGUUGUGUGAAGGCUUGGAUGUGGGGGUUGCAGGUCCGCACUCGUGUGGUCUGCUCCUCUAAAACGUAUUAGUGGGUUAGUCCCCUAAUCUAUUGGUGUGAUAAUUAUCUACGCCGUGGAUUUGGAAGGCUAUCAUAGACCUGCUUCUAACUGUCCUCUGGACAACCUUGACAA
Molecule: unclassified non-coding RNA, 195 nt
Filed under: Coprinopsis pachyderma
Lineage: Eukaryota; Fungi; Basidiomycota; Agaricomycetes; Agaricales; Psathyrellaceae
Description: partial internal transcribed spacer 2
Source: RNAcentral